Molecule: ribosomal RNA, 473 nt
Filed under: uncultured Smithella sp.
Lineage: Bacteria; Pseudomonadati; Thermodesulfobacteriota; Syntrophia; Syntrophales; Smithellaceae
Description: bacterial SSU rRNA
Rfam family: Bacterial small subunit ribosomal RNA
Source: RNAcentral
AAUUGACGGGGCCCGCACAAGCGGUGGAGUAUGUGGUUUAAUUCGAUGCAACGCGAAAAACCUUACCUGGGCUUGACAUCCCGGGAAUCCCUUGGAAACAAGGGAGUGCCCUUCGGGGAACCUGGAGACAGGUGCUGCAUGGCUGUCGUCAGCUCGUGUCGUGAGAUGUAGGGUUAAGUCCCGCAACGAGCGCAACCCUUGUCUUUAAUUGCCAUCAUUGAGUUGGGCACUUUAAAGAGACUGCCGGUGUUAAACCGGAGGAAGUGGGGAUGACGUCAAGUCCUCAUGGCCUUUAUGCCCAGGGCUACACACGUGCUACAAUGGGUGGUACAAAGAGCAGCCAGCUCGCGAGGGGGAGCCAAUCCCAUAAAGCCAUUCGUAGUCCGGAUCGCAGUCUGCAACUCGACUGCGUGAAGUCGGAAUCGCUAGUAAUCGUGGAUCAGAAUGUCACGGUGAAUACGUUCCCGGGUCUU